CCGUGCUUUCUUUUUCACCGGAGCUUGCUCCACCGGGAAAAGAGGAGUGGCGAACGGGUGAGUAACACGUGGGUAACCUGCCCAUCAGAAGGGGAUAACACUUGGAAACAGGUGCUAAUACCGUAUAACAAUCGAAACCGCAUGGUUUCGUUUUGAAAGGCGCUUUACGGUGCCGCUGAUGGAUGGACCCGCGGUGCAUUAGCUAGUUGGUGAGGUAACGGCUCACCAAGGCCACGAUGCAUAGCCGACCUGAGAGGGUGAUCGGCCACAUUGGGACUGAGACACGGCCCAAACUCCUACGGGAGGCAGCAGUAGGGAAUCUUCGGCAAUGGACGAAAGUCUGACCGAGCAACGCCGCGUGAGUGAAGAAGGUUUUCGGAUCGUAAAACUCUGUUGUUAGAGAAGAACAAGGGUGAGAGUAACUGUUCACCCCUUGACGGUAUCUAACCAGAAAGCCACGGCUAACUACGUGCCAGCAGCCGCGGUAAUACGUAGGUGGCAAGCGUUGUCCGGAUUUAUUGGGCGUAAAGCGAGCGCAGGCGGUUUCUUAAGUCUGAUGUGAAAGCCCCCGGCUCAACCGGGGAGGGUCAUUGGAAACUGGGAGACUUGAGUGCAGAAGAGGAGAGUGGAAUUCCAUGUGUAGCGGUGAAGGG
This 653-nucleotide ribosomal RNA is filed under the name Enterococcus mundtii. RNAcentral's name for it is "bacterial SSU rRNA". It matches the Rfam family "Bacterial small subunit ribosomal RNA", at positions 62 to 688 of the family's 1533-position model. The record is from RNAcentral. Lineage: Bacteria; Bacillati; Bacillota; Bacilli; Lactobacillales; Enterococcaceae.